Brassica oleracea var. oleracea is the source of this 709-nucleotide long non-coding RNA. RefSeq lists it as uncharacterized. NCBI's taxonomy places the organism in Eukaryota, Viridiplantae, Streptophyta, Magnoliopsida, Brassicales, Brassicaceae. The record is from RefSeq and is a predicted model, not a curated record. The transcript has 3 exons.
GUGAACUAAAUAAACUCGUGGGAGUUAUCACAAGGGAUGCUUUGAUUACUUCCCCUGUUCAGAAGGUGAGUUUGGUUAGUUGGUGUGGGGUUUACUUUAAGAUAUGGAUGUAAGUGCGAUAACUUGUAGGUGUGUGAGGACCAGACAUCAGGAAAGGAGCCUGAAUCUAAGGAGAAGUUAGCUGCAGAAGAAAAGGGAGAUGUGGGAGAAACGGAGGUUGAGAAGGUGACAAUUCAUCAGGAGAAGGAUGAAGCCGUAGAGGAGGAAGCUGUUAAGGAGGGGCGCUUUAAGGAGAAGGAGGAUGGUGCAUUGCAGGGUGUUGAAAAUGUUGGUGGGAGCGAGGGAUUAGUAAAUGUCGCUGUUGAGGAGAAGGGAGAUGUUGCGGGGACAACAUGCGAGGUAAGCCUCAGUACGAUUGUGUUGUAAACUUUAUAGGCUAUACUAGUGCACAAAGUUUUUUAGGUUGCGUAAGGAACACAGUAAAAUAAUUGAAGGUGUGGUUAAGGUGUAGUAGGUGUACACGUGGAUAAGGUGUAGUAGUUGUACAUGUGGAUCAUGUCUAAUAUGCGUACAUGUGUACAGUGUUAGGUAUGUGUUGUUGAGUUUAUAACUGAAAUGUGUUUGGGUGUUGCUAUGUUUAGGUGGCUGCGGCUGAUGGGGUUGAAGGUGGAAACGAGGGUGAAAGUGCUGAGGAUAAGAUGUUGGCUAG